RNAcentral lists this long non-coding RNA (1104 nucleotides) under Sus scrofa (pig). RNAcentral's name for it is "lncRNA (ENSSSCG00055014243.1)". Lineage: Eukaryota; Metazoa; Chordata; Mammalia; Artiodactyla; Suidae. The record is from RNAcentral.
UGGGGGGAAGGAGAGUCUUUUCCAUGCAUUUCCACAAUUUCCAAACACAAGCUUCAUAAGAACAAGACUUGUGUCUAUAUUGUUCAGCAUUAUAUCCAUAGUGGUAAUCAGUACCCAUUUGGUGAAAAUUCAAAUAAAAGAUGCCUUGCUGAACCUUGAACUAUUAAACUCACCACUUAAGGUACUGAUCCUUUUUGAAAAUUACUUUUUUUUUUUUUAAUGUCUUUUUAGGGCCUAUGCCAGAGCCACUGCAACGCCAGAUUCAAGCCGCGUCUGUGAACUACACCACAGCUCAUGGCAACACCAGGUCCUUAACCCACUGAGCAAGGCCAGGGAUCGAAUCCACAACCUCAUGGUUCCUGGUCGGAUUAGUUUCCACUGCACCACGAUGGGAAUUCCCUGAAGACUACAUUUUAAGGGAAACGAAAACAAGCUGGGCUGAUUACAAGAUGUCACUGAUGAUGAGAAUCUACAGGCAACUUGUCAUAUAUGGAACAGAAACAGAAAUAUUUUACCUGAAUAUAGAAACUCAAGAAAAAUGGGAGACUUCAACAAUUUGAAAGUCUGUUAUAUGAAAGAAGGAAUAGACUGAUUUUGUUGCUUCAGAGAAUAGGACCAGACCUAACAGAUGGAUGUUAUAGGGAAUCAGAAUUCAUGUCAAUAUCAGGAAGAAUUGCUGCCCAAUAUAUUCACUAGGAGCAGCACUGUUUGGGGGUGGUUUUUUUUUUUUUUUUCCAAAUUGGUGAAAUUGAAAUAAGCUCUAUCCCCUGAAAUAACUUAAAAAACAAAAAACCCUACAUCAGCACCUCCAACACUCCAACACAGGCAAAGCUGGCCAAGGGCUGCAUUUAUCAUCACCCAGCUCUGCAGGAUUUUUCAAAAUUUUUCAAGAAAAAUGAAGGAAGUUGGUUUUCAAAGAAAAAUAACAUUUAAAAAAAAAUCCAUUCAGUCACUUAUGAUGGAGCAUGAUGAUGUGAGAAAAAAGAAUCUAUACAUGCAUGUGUAACUGGGUCACCAUGCUGUAUAGUAGAAAAUCAACAGAACACUGUAAACCAGCUAUAAUGAAAAAAAUAAAAACCAUUAUAUGUAUAAAAAAUCCCUUCA